GGAUUGGCAGUGGUCGGCGAGUUGACAUCUUCGUUAACUUCAAUGUAUUAGGGCAACCAUUCAUUGAGGGAAGACUAGACAGACCGGUCUUGCGGCUUGACAACCUCUCAUGUUUGACCUCAAAUCAGGUAGGACUACCCGCUGAACUUAAGCAUAUCAAUAAGCGGAGGAAAAGAAACCAACAGGGAUUGCCUUAGUAACGGCGAGUGAAGCGGCAAGAGCUCAAAUUUGAAAUCUGGCACUUUCAGUGUCCGAGUUGUAAUUUGAAGAAGGCAGUCUUGGUGGCCAACCUUGUCUAUGUUCCUUGGAACAGGACGUCACAGAGGGUGAGAAUCCCGUGCGAUGAGGUUUGUCUGCUUUGUAAGGCGCUUUCGAAGAGUCGAGUUGUUUGGGAAUGCAGCUCUAAGUGGGUGGUAAAUUCCAUCUAAAGCUAAAUAUUGGCGAGAGACCGAUAGCGAACAAGUACAGUGAUGGAAAGAUGAAAAGAACUUUGAAAAGAGAGUGAAACAGUACGUGAAAUUGUUGAAAGGGAAGGGCUUGAGAUUAGACUUGGCUUUGCUCAAUCAUUUCUCCUUGUGGGAGGUGCUCUUGGCUUUGCCGGGCCAGCAUCGGUUUUGGUGGUGGGAUAAUAGCGAUUGAACGUGGCCCCUCGGGGUGUUAUAGCUUUCGUUGAUACCGCCUACUGGGACCGAGGAC
This 696-nucleotide ribosomal RNA is filed under the name [Candida] sp. Its description in RNAcentral is "eukaryotic LSU rRNA". The stretch from base 115 to 696 matches the Rfam family "Eukaryotic large subunit ribosomal RNA", at positions 1 to 589 of the family's 3401-position model. Lineage: Eukaryota; Fungi; Ascomycota; Saccharomycetes; Saccharomycetales. The record is from RNAcentral.